RNAcentral lists this ribosomal RNA (253 nucleotides) under uncultured bacterium. RNAcentral's name for it is "partial 16S ribosomal RNA". It matches the Rfam family "Bacterial small subunit ribosomal RNA", at positions 524 to 776 of the family's 1533-position model. The record is from RNAcentral.
UACAGAGGGUGCGAGCGUUAAUCGGAAUUACUGGGCGUAAAGCGUGCGCAGGCGGUGAUGUAAGACAGAUGUGAAAUCCCCGGGCUCAACCUGGGACCUGCAUUUGUGACUGCAUCGCUAGAGUACGGUAGAGGGGGAUGGAAUUCCGCGUGUAGCAGUGAAAUGCGUAGAUAUGCGGAGGAACACCGAUGGCGAAGGCAAUCCCCUGGACCUGUACUGACGCUCAUGCACGAAAGCGUGGGGAGCAAACAGG